CCUACGGGGGACAGCAGUGAGGAAUAUUGGUCAAUGGGCGGAAGCCUGAACCAGCCAAGUAGCGUGCGGGAUGAAGGCCCUACGGGUCGUAAACCGCUUUUGCACGGGGAUAACACCCUCCACUUGUGGAGGUCUGCAGGUACCGUGCGAAUAAGGGCCGGCUAAUUCCGUGCCAGCAGCCGCGGUAAUACGGAAGGCCCGAGCGUUAUCCGGAUUCAUUGGGCUUAAAGGGAGCGUAGGCGGGCGUUCAAGUCAGCUGUAAAAUCGCGCGGCUCAACCGCGCCCCGCAGUUGAAACUGGACGCAUUGAGUUCACAACAGGCAGGCGGAAUUCGUGGUGUAGCGGUGAAAUGCAUAGAUAUCACGAGGAACCCCGAUUGCGAAGGCAGCCUGCCGGGGUGCGACUGACGCUGAGGCUCGAAGGUGCGGGUAUCAAACAGGAUUAGAUACCCCAGUAGUC
This 459-nucleotide ribosomal RNA is filed under the name uncultured bacterium. RNAcentral's name for it is "partial 16S ribosomal RNA". It matches the Rfam family "Bacterial small subunit ribosomal RNA", at positions 338 to 795 of the family's 1533-position model. The record is from RNAcentral.